Molecule: ribosomal RNA, 375 nt
Filed under: Triticum aestivum (bread wheat)
Lineage: Eukaryota; Viridiplantae; Streptophyta; Magnoliopsida; Poales; Poaceae
Description: partial small subunit ribosomal RNA
Source: RNAcentral
AUGCAGCAAGUGGCCAAUACAUCCAGCAACAACGCCAUAUCAAGAUGGGUCCAUCCCCCUGAAGGUAUAGCAAAAAUUCGAGUUGAUGAUGCUGUUUCAAGAUCUGCGAAGGAAGGAACCUAUAGUGCAAUAUGCAGGGACCAUGAUGGCAAAUAUUUGGUCUCAUCAGCCAUCAAAGUCUCGGGUAUCACGGACCCGGGGACUCUCGAGGCGUUAGCUUGUCGCGAGGCGCUUGCUCUAGCCCUGGAUCUUGGGCUGCCAAAUAUACUGGUUGGCUCAGAUUGCAAAGUUGUGGUGAACAACAUCAAGCUAGGCACGGGAGGUAUGUAUGAAAGCAUAAUGAAGGAAAUAAGAAAUACGUCCGAGCAAUUUUAG